This 254-nucleotide ribosomal RNA is filed under the name uncultured bacterium. Its description in RNAcentral is "partial 16S ribosomal RNA". It matches the Rfam family "Bacterial small subunit ribosomal RNA", at positions 524 to 776 of the family's 1533-position model. The record is from RNAcentral.
CACGUAGGGGGCAAGCGUUGUCCGGAUUUAUUGGGCGUAAAGAGCUCGUAGGUGGUUCGGUAAGUCAGGUGUGAAACCUCCAGGCUCAACCUGGAGACGCCACUUGAUACUGCUGUGACUGGAGUCCGGUAGGGGAGCGUGGAAUUCCUGGUGUAGCGGUGAAAUGCGCAGAUAUCAGGAGGAACACCAGCGGCGAAGGCGGCGCUCUGGGCCGGUACUGACACUGAGGAGCGAAAGCGUGGGCAGCAAACAGG